Hippocampus zosterae (dwarf seahorse) is the source of this 828-nucleotide long non-coding RNA. RefSeq lists it as uncharacterized. Lineage: Eukaryota; Metazoa; Chordata; Actinopteri; Syngnathiformes; Syngnathidae. The transcript has 2 exons. The record is from RefSeq and is a predicted model, not a curated record.
CCAUAUGUCCCACUGGGAAAAUUCAAGCAAGUAAGGCCUUGUUAAAAUAUGCAGACUUAACUUUUAUAGGACAUGCAUGGUAAAGUUAGGCCACAUCGGAGGUGACGUGUUCUUCAGAAGAGAACAAUGGAUAGAGCCAGAGCGAACUGUGGACAGUCUGCAGAGAAAAAUACAAGCAGGGAUUGCCCUCCUCCUCCCUCCGGAAGCCUACGCCAAGAGGAGACUGUUGCCUUCAAAAUAAGAGUAAGCGUGCGACCGUACGCGUUUAAGUCACUGUGGAAUUUAACAUUUAACUUUUUACUUUACACUUAAAUAUGGAGUAGAAUUAAUAUGCGUCAAUGGUACGGAUUUAUAAUUGUGUACUUUGUUGGAUAAACUACACAUGUUUUGUAUUUUGAAGGCCGAAAACCUUUUUCCUCGUUUCCGACCCGUGCUUGACUCCCAAGUCGGGCGCCUGCGUCAGGUGGCUCGUGACGUCAGAUUCAGAUCCAGUGAGCCCUGCGGCCUGUUGUUGGUUCAGGACUUGUUGCCAUCGUCAAUCGCUGGCUUCAUAUAAACAAACAACCAUUCUCGCUCACACCUACAGACAAUACAUUCAUAUUUACUUUCAAAUCCGGUGCACCACAACAUAUGCGUCGAAGUAAUCUCGACUUAAACCCGGUAGAAUAUGCAUUCAUAUUCACCCAUAUGGGAAAUGCAGAGUCUGAAAUAAACCCAACAUGCAUAUUUUUGGAAAUGGGGGGGGGGGGUAUUUUUGCGACAGCCGUGAACCUAGUGAAAUGGAUGGAACUUGAUCCCCGCGGGGAAAAAAAAAACACUGCACAACAA